AGCUCAUCUGUCAUCUGUGAAACAUUUUUUUAGCUACAUUUUGUUUUGUUCAUUUUAUUUCUAUAAAAACAAUUUAGUGAUCAUUUUUGCUAUAAAAAUUAAAUUAUUUAUUUCAAAAAUAGGUACUUAUCAACAUUCAACAAAAUGUCCAACAACAUGCACGACAUUCGGCGAACAAGAAAAUCUUCCAAAAUUUACUCAACAAGUUACAACACGUUUGAGUGAAAAUAUCUUGGCAACUUAAGCAUUAAAAGCAAAAAAAAAACGUAAAAUCAAAGGAAUGCAAGAGAGAAAUUCCAUAUGCCGAACACCUCCAAGAGCUGUGAGAAGAACUGGCCAAGGACCCAAUUUGUUUUGGGUGCUACGAAGAGAAUCAGCUUCCAAAAGGGUCGACAAAGAAGGCAAAUAUUGAAAAGAACUUCCCAUGAUGAUUAAUUGAUGAUUAUUUGGACUCGAAUUCCGAUUUAAAUGUAUGGUCAGAGAAGAGGAAAGUUCUUCAACCGAAGUUAAAUGCCUUAGUUGAAAUUCGACUGAUGAUAAGACUUCUAUGAUCAAAUAGCCCACCUGUUGGAAACGUCAAAAAAAAAUUAUCAUUUGAACGAUUUGAUUGUCGCAAGUCCAGAACACUCAUUGCUUAGAGAAAUCAUCUAGAUGCUUAACUCGCUUCAAAAUUCUUCAAAGCAGUUGACAACGAUGUCCAAGUACAAGGGAUUGGGUUCGAUUCCCAGCUUAAGUGUGGCAACGGAUGAUUCGCAAAAAGACUACAAAAGCAUCCCGAAACUAUUCCAGCCAGAUCGUUGUUUCAUCAAAGAAACCUAAAAUCCAAUAUUCGGCUGUUUUGUCGGAAAAGCGUUUUGGAAAACUACGCAAUUGGAAAAUAUUCCACCCGAGCAAUAAUUGGAGAUUAAACAAUGAAUGCUCAAUGCAUUUAUCCAGGAGCAAGAAAAAUCCGUUCGCAAUGCCAUUGCGCAGCUUAUUGGUGUUUCGAUUCAUUAUGAAAAGAAGGGAUAAUGGAUCCAAGAGGUCUUGCAAUUUGUAUACAGCAAUUGCAGUUCGGUUGAUCGAAAACAAAGUGAAUUGGGAUCAUCGAUCUUUGCUCAAUAACCGAUGUAGCACCAGAACAAUUUGUCGCUCUCAUGAAAUCUAUUAUGGUGAUAUUUUGACCGCUGCUUUAACUGCUACCAAAACCAGUGGAAAUAUGGCUACUCUUCUAACAAUCAAAGUGGAGAUGAAUCUAUCAGCAGUAUGGAGGAAAUCCAAAGGCAACUAAAUGAACAACAGCAUACAAUCUUUGAGAUAAAUGCUGCUAGCUGAAUAAAAUGCAAAAUUCGUUGGAGAAAUUGCAUCACUUCAACAAGAAAACGAUAAGCUAGAAGGCGAAAAGAAUUUUCUCAAAUCGAAAUUAGAUCAAAUGAAGGCUGAGUUCCAUUUGGACAUAAUCAAAGCCCUGGAA
Episyrphus balteatus (marmalade hoverfly) is the source of this 1453-nucleotide long non-coding RNA. RefSeq lists it as uncharacterized. NCBI's taxonomy places the organism in Eukaryota, Metazoa, Arthropoda, Insecta, Diptera, Syrphidae. The transcript has 7 exons. The record is from RefSeq and is a predicted model, not a curated record.